Molecule: unclassified non-coding RNA, 253 nt
Filed under: plant metagenome
Description: partial contains small subunit ribosomal RNA, internal transcribed spacer 1, and 5.8S ribosomal RNA
Rfam family: 5.8S ribosomal RNA (bases 205-253)
Source: RNAcentral
UUUCCGUAGGUGAACCUGCGGAAGGAUCAUUAUUGGAUUUUGAAACUUCAGGCUGCUGCUGGCUCUCCUCGGAGGGCAUGUGCACGCUUGUUGUCCAUUAUUUCUCCCACUGUGCACAAAUUGUAGACCUUUCAGUAGGCCUAUGUUGUUUUUCACAAUCUCUGAAUGUAAUAGAAUGGUUUUGAAUCUUGGGAAAUACAAUACAACUUUCAGCAACGGAUCGCUGGGCUCUCGCAUCGAGGAAGAACGCAGC